GACGAACGCUGGCGGCGUGCUUAACACAUGCAAGUCGAACGGAAAGGCCCUGCUUUUGUGGGGUGCUCGAGUGGCGAACGGGUGAGUAACACGUGAGUAACCUGCCCUUGACUUUGGGAUAACUUCAGGAAACUGGGGCUAAUACCGGAUAGGAGCCCCUGCUGCAUGGUGGGGGUUGGAAAGUUUCGGCGGUUGGGGAUGGACUCGCGGCUUAUCAGCUUGUUGGUGGGGUAGUGGCUUACCAAGGCUUUGACGGGUAGCCGGCCUGAGAGGGUGACCGGCCACACUGGGACUGAGAUACGGCACAGACUCCUACGGGAGGCAGCAGUGGGGAAUAUUGCACAAUGGGCGGAAGCCUGAUGCAGCAACGCCGCGUGCGGGAUAACGGCCUUCGGGUUGUAAACCGCUUUCGCCUGUGACGAAGCGUGAGUGACGGUAAUGGGUAAAGAAGCACCGGCUAACUACGUG
Molecule: ribosomal RNA, 468 nt
Filed under: uncultured bacterium
Lineage: Bacteria
Description: partial 16S ribosomal RNA
Rfam family: Bacterial small subunit ribosomal RNA
Source: RNAcentral